UCGAGCGAGAAGCCCCUCGGGGUGAGUACAGCGGCGGACGGGUGAGUAACGCGUAGGAAUCUACCUAGUAGUGGGGGACAACUCGUGGAAACGCGAGCUAAUACCGCAUGCGCCCUACGGGGGAAAGCGGGGGAUCUUCGGACCUCGUGCUAUUAGAUGAGCCUGCGUAAGAUUAGCUAGUUGGUGGGGUAAUGGCCUACCCAGGCGACGAUCUUUAGCUGGUCUGAGAGGAUGAUCAGCCACACCGGGACUGAGACACGGCCCGGACUCCAACGGGAGGCAGCAGUCGGGAAUAUUGCGCAAUGGGCGAAAGCCUGACGCAGCCAUGCCGCGUGUGUGAAGAAGGCCCUAGGGUUGUAAAGCACUUUCAAUUGGGAGGAAAAGCUAAUGGUUAAUAGCCAUUAGCCCUGACGUUACCUUUAGAAGAAGCACCGGCUAACUCCGUGCCAGCAGCCGCGGUAAUACGGAGGGUGCAAGCGUUAAUCGGAAUUACUGGGCGUAAAGCGCGCGUAGGCGGUUUUUUAAGUCGGAUGUGAAAGCCCCGGGCUCAACCUGGGAAUUGCAUCCGAUACUGGAUGACUAGAAUGCGGGAGAGGGAGGUAGAAUCCCAUGUGUAGCAGUGAAAUGCGUAGAUAUAUGGAGGAAUACCAGUGGCGAAGGCGGCCUCCUGGCUCGACAUUGACGCUGAGGUGCGAAAGCGUGGGGAGCAAACGGGAUUAGAUACCCCGGUAGUCCACGCCGUAAACGAUGUCUACUAGCUGUAGGGGUACUUGAGACCUUUGUAGCGC
RNAcentral lists this ribosomal RNA (788 nucleotides) under uncultured marine bacterium. RNAcentral's name for it is "bacterial SSU rRNA". It matches the Rfam family "Bacterial small subunit ribosomal RNA", at positions 62 to 849 of the family's 1533-position model. The record is from RNAcentral.